AUUUAUAUAGUUUAAAUAAAACAUUAUAUUUUCAUUAUAAAAAUAAUAUAAAAUUUAAUUAUUAUUUAUAAAUA
This 74-nucleotide transfer RNA is filed under the name Formica fusca. RNAcentral describes it as "transfer RNA-Glu". Lineage: Eukaryota; Metazoa; Arthropoda; Insecta; Hymenoptera; Formicidae. The record is from RNAcentral. RNAcentral also lists the same sequence under 2 other names.